AGAGAACUUGUCCAUCUUUAGCUAUGAUGGCAAAGUCAAAUACCAAGAGAUCAUAAACUCAACCAAAGAAUUCGAUCCAAAAUACCUAAUCGGAACCGGAGGAUACGGCAAAGUAUACAAAGCAAACCUCCCAGGCGCAACCGUAGCAGUGAAAAAGCUACACCAAACAAUGAACGAAGAGAUAUCAAAGCCAGUGGUGAAGCAAGAGUUCCUAAACGAAGUAAGAGCCUUAACAGAGAUCCGUCACCGCAACGUGGUGAAGCUCUUCGGCUUCUGCUCUCACCGCCGCCACACUUUCCUGAUCUACGAGUACAUGGAAAAAGGAAGUUUAAACAAACUGUUAGCUGAUGACAAAGAAGCGAAACGACUCAAUUGGACCAAAAGGAUCAAUAUAGUGAAAGGUGUGGCGUACGCGUUAUCGUAUAUGCACCAUGACAGAUCAACUCCGAUCGUCCACCGUGAUAUUAGCAGCGGCAACAUCCUUCUCGAUAACGAUUACAAAGCUAAGAUCUCCGAUUUCGGUACAGCGAAGCUUCUCAAGAUGGAUUCCUCAAAUUGGUCCGCCGUCGCCGGAACCUAUGGCUAUGUCGCUCCAGGUAUAUCUAAAUCAAUGAAAUUGAAAUCUUUAAAAUCGAUUUCGAGCUUAUGAAAUUGAAAAUUUCUGAACAGAAUUGGCUUACGCGAUGAAGGUGACGGAGAAAUGCGAUGUGUAUAGCUUCGGAGUAUUGACGCUGGAAGUGAUAAAGGGGAAACAUCCGGGAGAUUUGGUUUCGGCUUUGUCAUCGUCGUCUCCGGGAGAAACUCCGUCGCUGAGAAGCAUUUCCGAUGAGCGUUUAGGAGAACCAGAGGCGAAGAUUAGAGAGAAGUUAGUGAAGAUGGUGGAAAUGGCGUUGUCGUGCUUACAAGCAGAUCCAAUGUCUCGGCCAACAAUGUUGUCAAUUUCAACGGCAUUCACCUAAAAACUUAUAAUAUAAGGUUUUUACAAUUAAAAUAAAACACAAAGUUAAACACAUGAUAAAUUAUGUGAUUAAUAAAUAUUAAUAUAGUUAUGCUAUUUUAGCCAAACGUUUGAGUUUUACUAGAGUUAUAAUUAUGGCUGCGUAAUGUGAAUAUACUAAAUCUUGUAGUUGUUUUGCUUUGGCUGAAUAAUAUUUUGUUUAAAAUUAUGUUAUAAAUAAUUAUUACUAUAGUUUAUAACAUGUAGUCAUCUCUUAAAUAUUUUUUAAUAUCAAUUUGAUUAUUUGUUUUUGUGAAAGAUGGAAGUAUGUGUAAUGUGUUCAUCAAUGCAAUUUCGAUUUGUAUUCGAAAGUUUUAAACUUUUAACUGUUUUGGAGAAAUAGACCUUUUUUUAGUCUGUUUUAUUAUAUACUAGUCAGUUUUCUGCGUUACGCGUGUGAGGUCUAUUAUAUUGUUUAUGAGUAAUUGGUUCAUAUUUUAUUUUUUAUUUAUUUUUCACUUUAACAUAUUUUUUUUUAAUCUUAGAUUGUGAUUGUAUAGAAAACAUGUUGAGUUUUAGCUUCAUUAGUAGUUGACAAAUUAAAUGUGUAUAAUAUUUAAUAAAAUGAACUAAAUAAAGAAAUAUAUGUGGUUUAAACAGAAGUAUGGUGGAGAAUCAUAAAGAAACAUGUGUUAUUAGGGUUCCUACCAAAUACUUAUUUACAUAUGUCUAAAUCUAAAAUUAAAUGAUAAAAUUAUAUAAAUAAUUUUUAAAAUUAAAUAAUAAAAUGAGGUGGAUGAUGAUUAGGAUGAUGAGGUGGCUUAAGGAGGAGAGAGCAAAGUUAACUUUAUAUAUAGAUAUAUUCGUUUCUGAUUUUUUGUUUAAUAUAUUUUCUGUAUUUUCAUAUGGAACAAUUUUAAAAUUUAACAUAGUAGUAUAAUUUACUUUAUAUUUAGUUCAUUUCAUUUAAUUAUGUUUUUUUACUUUUUAAUUUUUAUGAAAUAUUGUUAAUUUUUUAUUUUGUUUAUUAGUUUACCAUAUAUGAUGUAUUGAAAACAAUUAGUUGAAUUCAUAUUGGAAACCUUUUAAAGAAAUAUUAUUUUUAUUGUUACCAUUUUUAUACGUGUUUUUAAAAUGAGAAUUCAUGUUUUGUCCCAACCUAUCUCUUUUAUGUUGGAGAAUUUUGAAUUUUUUGAGACAUAAAUUACACAAAUCAUAAUAUUAUUUUUAAUGAAUAUAUAUAUAUUCAUUAUUUUUUGUUUUAUUCCCGUUAAAUCCCAUUAUAAUUUAGGUUUAUAUUGUGUAAAUAUAAUCAAAUUUUGUGUCAUAUUAUUUUUAAUUGAUAUAUAUAUAUAUAUAUUCAUUCUAAAAUAUUUACUUAAAAACUAUAAGCUAUUAUUUAUAUAUUAGUUCGUAUUAUCAAUAAUUAGUAAGUUUUUUAAUCAAUUAUUAUUUUUAGUUUUAUAAUAUAAAAUAUAAGAAAAGACCUUUCAUAUUUCUUUUAGAAAACUUAUUUACAUAUGUCUAAAUCUUAAAACUAAAUGAUAAAAUGAUAUAAUUAAUUUUUAAAAUUAAAUAAUAAAAUGAGGUGGAUGAUGAUUAGGAUGAUGAGGUGGCUUAAGGAGAAGAGAGCAAAGUUAACUUUAUAUAUAUAGACUAGCAGUUGACCCGCGCUGCGCGCGGAAGGUUUAUAUAUAUUUUUGUGAUAUUUUAUUUAUUUUAACUGAUUUUCAAAACAUAUUAUAGUUAUUUUCUCUUGAAUUAUUAUCUUUCAAUAUUUAAAUUUGGAUUAAAAUCAUUUUCUUUUUCAUCAAGUUAUAAAUUAAUAUUUCGCUUUCAAUUUUAUUUUUCCCCUUUAAGAUUUUAUAUGUACAAUUACAUAAAUGUUGUUUUUAUUCUACCAUAAAUUGAAAAUUUACUUACAUUCUUAAAGUCAGUAACACAUUUAAAAUUUUAAACUAUGAUCAAUUUAAAAUGAAAGUUGAAUUAUAUUAUUACCACUAACUAAUAUAAAAUGAAAGUAUUUCUUAUUUAACAUUUCAUUUAUUUACAUAAUUUAUUUUUAUUUAUAUAAAUUUUCUAUUAAUUAAAUAAGUAGCAUAAAUAUGCACUAAAUGAAUGUUUUAAAUUUAUUUUAAUGUAGAAAAAAUGUGGUUUAUGUGGAUGCUUAGGUGGCAUCAUGAGAAGAGAGAAAAAGCUAACUUUAUAUAUAUAUAUUACUGCACAAUGAAUAUUAUAAUCAACCGAAUGUUCUAACGUAUAUAAGAGCAUGAUUAAUGGUAGGCUUUUAGCCUUAAGGUUUUGUUAAGAAAAACUUUUAACCAACUUCGUAAACCUCAACCUCUAUAACAAUUUUUUUUUGGGUCCACUUCCUUCUCAGAUUGGAAACUUACCCAACCUUGUUAAGGUAGGCCUUAGUACAAACAUUUUGUAAAUUUCACCCACUUCCAUUGGAAAUUUCACCAACUUGGUAAAACUUAAUCUCUAUAUCAGUUCUUCCUCGGGUCCACUUCUUUCUGAGUUUGGAAACUUAGUUGAGCUGGAUUUGUCUAGCAACAACCUCACAUGUGAACUUCCAUAAGAAAUUGAAAAUCUCGCAGGUUAUUCGAAGCUACUACUAAAUGGGAAUCCACUAUCAGGAAGAGUUCCUACAUUUCUAAGUUUCUUAACCAAUCUCGAGGUUCUUGAUUUAUCCUUAAACAAUUUCAGCUCCCAGAUCCCGCAAACUUUUGACUCCUUUUUAAAGCUUCAUGACAUGAACCUAAGCAGAAACAAAUUCGGCGAAUGUUUUCCCCGCCUCACAAAGCUGACUCAAUGAAAUAAUCAAGAUCUCAGCCACAACCAGCUCGAUGGAAAAAUCCCAUCAGGGCUCAGCCUCUUGCAAAGCCUUGAUAAGCUUGACCUCUCACAUAACAAUCUUUCGGUUCUCUUUCCAACAAGUUUUGAGGGCUUAAAAGCGCUCAUACAUCGAGAUAUUAAACAAUAAACUCGAGGGUUCACUUCCAGAUAAUGCAGAGUUUCGAAAUGCAACAUCAGAUUCAUUGUAGGGAAACUAAAGCUUAUGCAGUAAUAUUGCUAGACAAAAGUUAAUAUUAGACUAUAACCAGUGCUAUAACACAGUUUGAAUUAUAUUUAGUAUAAAAAUGGAUAUAUUAUAUAUUUUAAAAUAAAGUUUUGAUAGAUGAUUAUAGUAAGUGAAACAUUUCAAUCCGAUACGUAGUAAGAAUUUUUGUUGAACGUAUUUUUGUUGAAAAGAAAUAUAUUAUUUAAGUCUAAAUUUUUGACCAGUUUCAAGAUUUCUUUUCAUUUUUCUCAUAGAUUAAAUAGUUUAUAUCCGUUUUAAAAAAUUCAACUCAUGGCAUAGGUGGAAAAUAUAAUUAUAUAUAUAUAUAUAUAUAUAUAUAUAUGAUAAUUUAUUUCUUUCAUAAAUAUGGAACCAUUGAGAAAUGAAGUAUAAUGAUUGUAACGCAUGUGUCCAAAUUCUGGUCGUAAUGAAGUUUUGUAGGGUGUCGAUUCACAUCAAGUGUGGGUAUCGGUCGUCACCAAGGUAGAAGUGGUGUUGUCUGGUGGUUGUGUCUACUGACACCAGUUUUCUGUGAGCAUUGAUUUGUGUUUUUGAUUGCAUGGUUUGGUUGUUUGGUAUUCGUUUGUGUGUGAUUGUGAUCUUAACGCUUGUGUCCAUAGCCCAGUAGAUGGGAUAAUCGCUUCAUUGAGUAUUUUUGAUAAUACUCACGCAUCUCAUUGUGUUUGUGGUGUAGGUAAAGUGUGGCAUGGAAUCAUGGCAAUAAAAACCAGAUUUUUUCAUUUUUGCUGAGAUCCCUUUAUUUCAAUGUGUACUGCUUUUGCUACACUUAGAUCACAAAUUCUAACUUAAUAGUUGAAUCAAAAAAUGAAUAUGCCAUUCAUAGCAAAAUUUUGAAUUAGUACAAUUACAGUAGUUCGAUGAGUAAUAUAUAUAUAUAUAUGAAAUAUUAGCACUCUCACACCGUUUCCAUCUUUGUUAUUACAUUUUAGCACCGUUUGAGACUAUGGCACCGUUUUUGACUGUGAAUAGACAAAACACUCCCUAACUUAAACAUUUAACUAAACAACUUCUCUCACAAUAUUGUUUCACACACCAAAUUUUGUUUCCUUUACUAUAUAUUUUAAACUUUAAUAAUAAUAAACAGAACAAUAUCUUCUCAUCUAUCGACUGUAAACAAAAAGAGAUUGAAAAUAAUACCUAAAUCCCCAGUUUAUCUUCUACAUCUACCAUGUUUCUUCUCGAAGAACUAUUCUCAACUACCAUGUUUCUUCUCGAAUUUCAGAUAUGGUUGCCAGAGAUCUUGAAGGAAAAUAAUUGCCCAGAAACUCUCGUUGUCUCUAACCUGCUCUACCCAGAUUUGUUUUUCAAUGGAUCUGCAAAUUAUUUAAGGUUUACUCCACUAUUCCUUUGCUUCCUCGAGUUACGUUCUUACCACUACAACCCCCAAUAGAUUCUUCCAUUACAAAGAAUCCGUCUGCUUUUCUUCAUUGUCGUAGGGUUUUGAGUGAAGACGAAACACCUUUCUAGAGUCGUCAGAAUCGUCCCUCCUUUCUAGAGUCGUCAGAAGCAUUUCUAAGUGUUGUUUUGUGCACAAACCUUAGCAAACGUAGAUUUUGUGGACAUAUAAUCGUGGACUUCAUUUUUGUGGAUGGCACUUCUUGGAUAAAACGAGUUCCAGAGGUCAAAUCUCACAUUUUUGUUGAUUUUGGAAUUUUUCUUGGAUGGCAUGUAGUUAGAAAUGCUUGUGCCGUGUCAUACUUUUGCUUUGAUCAAUCAUACAUGUGCAUCUACUAAAAGGGAACUUUUUGGUUUGCUUGAAGAAGAAAGCACGUUCGUGUCCAAAAUGUACGUCACGUUACUUAACGCUGCUUUUAUUCAACGUGAGAUGUUGAUUUCCACGAAAUAAUGACCAUAUGUUCAGUUUAUUUGUAGCAUCAACAAUCAUGCUUUUGUAUACCAAUUAUCAUCUUUAAUGUUAACCAUUUGUGUCUUUCUUCUCUGUAAUGUUCACAUUCCAAAAUAUUAUCUUGCAAAGGUAUUAUUCCAUCUUUUGCACCAUCUCAAAAUCUUCAUAAGAUAAGAUGUAAAAAAAAUUGAAUAUCCAUAGGAAAUCUUACAAAGUUAUUAUUUCAAUGAAUCUUCUUGACACUCAUUAUCUUUUUCUUCCUGAAUUUUCUAACAAUAACAUAAAAAACAGAUUCAAAAUGAUAUCAUAAUCAAACCAACAAUAAACGUAACCAUCAUACCACAUUCGUAACCAUCAAACCGCUGCCAUCAAAUCACAUCACAACCACAACAUUUCCAGCCACCACAUCAUAUCCACCGUAUCGCAUCCACCACAUUUCAUCACAUUCACCGAAACGGAACUCUACCAUUGAACUUCAAUUCUGUGGACAGCGAUUCAUGGAUUUCAUCUCCGUGGACAGAGAGUUUCUUGGACGUUUCUUUCUUAAAUUUAGUGGCCAGUUGGAAAACAAUGAUAAUGAGAAUCUCCGGAAACUAAAGAUGCAAAAAAAUUAUUUGACCAAGAAAUAGCAAAAUUUUAAAAGAUGUUAAAAUGAUACGUCGGAGGUUAAGGUACACAACCAUUUGAUAAGAAGAUUGGGUCGAACACACAAUUCCAGAAAACAUGAAAACUGAAUCUUGCUGGAGAAAUCCAAAAAAAAAACGAACGAGCACAAAAACGAAUAUUCAAAAAAAGGAACACUUAAUCAAUUCAAUGUUUAGCAACAUACAUAAAAAACGGAUUGACUCACCUUAGAUGAGAAGAGCUUCUAGGUCCCAUUUCCUGUAAAUUGUAAAAAACCGUAAAGAUAAAAAAACAAUGAAUUAUGAGUAAAACUUCACAAUUUUUAACAAAAAUAGCAAAUAUAAUUCACAUGAAUCAGUGCAAAAAACCUCAAUUUCACGUUGAGUAUAAACACCCACAGAGACAAAAAGAAAAAAAAAAGAAAAAAAAAUUGCCGUCGAGAGUAGGAAGAAGAAGACGAGAGAGGUGAGUUUUUAUUAUAAGCCGCUUUCGCUAGCAAUUGAUGGCUAAGAUGAAAUUAUAUCCAACUUGAGCAUUUUUUGGUUUGUUUCACUCAUCUUUUAAGUUGGAGGACAUAAUUGUCCAAAUCUGGCGUCUACAGUGUAAAAGUAAGUGAAAACGGUCCAUAAACACAAGAGGGUGUUAACGCGAGAACUAAGACACAUAAACGGUGUCUCUCUAUAUAUAUAUUACUAGAUUUUAACCUGCGGUACACCGCAUGAAGAUAUUUUAUAAUGUCUUUCUUUUUUUAUUAAUUUUGUAUGGUAUAUAAGAUUGUACUACAUGCUGGAAAAAAAAUUGUACAACUGUAUUUUAAUGUUAAUUCUAUGAUUUAACCCGUGUAAUAUUGCAUGACAAUUUGUUUUUUAUAUAAUGUUAAUUUGAUCAACUUAACUAAAUAAGUCUAAUAUUCAAAAUAAUGAAAUAAUGUUGGCAUAACAUAAUUCGUUUAAAUAGCCUAAUUUCAGAUUAAAAUAUUUUGUGAGUUUUACUAUAGUAGACAACCCGUAAAAAUAUCUAUAGUCAUAACUUUGUAAAUUAUAAACCGCUUCAUCACAUGACCCGUGCUACACAAUUAUCAAUAAUAUUUUAGUACAUACAUUUUUGUAUCGUUUGAGUAAUAUACGUCCGUUUUCAAAAAUUCAAAUUGCAACAUAUGCAAAAUAAAAAUUAUAUUUUUAUUAUACAUAUGUUGUAUGUAAUAAUAUAAAUUUGAAAACAAAUAAGAUCAUAUAAAGAUAUUGGAGAAAUAUUUGAUUUAUUAGGGAGAGAUUUUAGGAAAUUUUGUUAAAUGUAAUAAAUAAUGGUUUCUAGUUUUGCAAUUUUAUUAUGAUUUAAUUACAAAAUUUACCUUAAAUUUUUGUUAUUUAUUCAAUUGCCAUGAGUUUAAUUAUGAAAAUAUUACAAAAUAAAAAGUUAUAACCCAAAAGGUAUAUCAAAAAUGUUAAUAUAGAAAUAUAUAUAUAUAUAUAUACUAUUUUCUUUGAAUUUUGUUAAUUUUAGUGUGUUGCGUUGUAUAUAUACCUCUUUGAAUCAAAUGGCAACAAAGGUUAACUUGGUUAUGGGAUUAACAAUUGUGGUAGAUGUUGAGAGUUCAAAUUCUCUAGUGUAAAAAUUUAACUUUCUAAAAUUAAACGUCCUAAUUUAAAGUUAAAGGUAUUACUUGGCAUCAUAGUCAUAAUCCAGAUACAGCAUUGGAAAUUGAGACCAUUCCUUGUACAACCAUUGGCAGCCUACAAAGGUUGUAUCGUCUUUUUAUUUGCUUGAAGUCAUAGAGAGAUAGUGAAAGAAUACAUGUAGUGUUGCAACUCCACCCAAAAGAGGAAGAGGUCGACCAAGAAAAGGACAAGUCAGAUUUGUUCAUCCAUUGAUACUUUAAAAUCAUUUGAAUGCUUAUUGAUAUUUUGAUAUUUUGAUUGAAAUAAGGAGCCAAUGGUUAUAUUGUUUGGACAAGGAACACCAUUACAAGGAGAACCUUCUCAGGGAGCACGUCAACUGUCUCAUGAAGCACCUUUAAUAGUUUUGUUAAGACAUGUUCCAAACAAGUGAUGUCUAUUCAUUAUGAGUUCCAAAAGGUUUACAUCACAAACAUAGAAUUGUUUGCUUAAUAACCUAGCAUAAGUUUUUCCUGAUUUCCUUUCCUAAACAAUACAUAACCCAGCACAAUGGUGAUAACACAAAGCCACACAAAACAGACUUUGAAGCACAAUUUACACUUGUUGUGGAGUUCCUUUUUGCUGAUCAUUUCUUCUUCCUUCACUUCUUUCAUCAUAGCCUUCAACUCAUUCACUUCUCCUUUGAUUUUUCUAAUCUCAUUUGCAGGGAUGGCUACUCUUGGUAAAGCAUCAUCUACUUCUUCAAACACGGCAUCCUCGACCCACUUAAACAAACUCUAAUGAACAAAAAAAUGACAAAUAGUUAGCUAGCUUACACUGAUUUUUCUACCUAAAUAAUAAGUUUUCAUAUACUUACAUCUCUUUUGCUUGUCCACGAAUUCACAUCACGUUUGCUUGCACAACGAAAGAGGUCGUCCCGGAUUCUCUUCAGGUUUAGAUGUAAAGAUCGUGACACCUAAACCACAAACACACUUGCUAGGCACACCACGCUCACUAACGCCACUCGUUGUGACAGAGCUCGAACUUGAACUCAUCGGAACAGAUAGAUUGCAGAAGAAUUUUGGGGAUUUUCAGAUUUUGUGACCUAGAAAUCGAUUUGGGGAUUUUAAGUUUCAUCAAUGUGUAAAAAGACGUCGUUUUGUUAACAGAUAAACGGCAACGUUUGCAUUAAACGAAAGCAGGAGACGGAUUGUUAACCCCGUCUGUGCAGUUCUAACAGCGAGUUAACACCAUGGUUAAAACGGCUCAGUCAACAAAAGUUUGAUAAUUUAAGCAAAGUCAACAAAAAGUUUGUAAUUAUAAAGGUUUCCGAAAAAUUCAUGAUUAAACGUCCCAAAUUUGAAAGUUGAAAAUUAUUAUAACAUUUUCCCAUUGAAUAAUACCCCUAAACACCAUUAUCAUUCUACUCUGCACAAAAACAAAAACAAAAAGUUUCCUUCUUUGAAAACCAUUAACCAAUCCGAGUAUUUUCUCAUGGCCCGAGGAAUUUCAUGUGGAAGUUCUUGAUGAAAUGGAAAUCGAUCAUUGACCAUGACCACUUGAUUCAGUCUAAUUUUUAUCAUAUCUCAGUCAGUACACUCACACACACGUCAUUUUGACCAAUAGUCCCUAAAUAUCUUCCAAAGCAAAGAGUUGAAAUUUACUCAACGGAUUGUUCAACGUUUAACACCUAAGAAGGUUUCGUAAUUUCACAAAGUAAACAGCCAAAAUAAGAAAUUUGAACCCACUACUGGUUUAGGCUACUUAGAGCAUUUUUAAGGGUGUAUCUUUGAGGAUGUAUCUUAACCAUUAAUAGGUAUAUUAAUAAUGAAAAGUGUAAGUUAAGAAGAUUUGAUUUUGAGGUGAUUAUUGGUUAAACCUCUAGUAUCUUAGAGUUUUAAUAAUAUAAUAAUAUUUAUAUAUUGUUAAAUUUUUGAAAUUAAAUAAAUUAUUAAUAAACUGAAAACUUAAAAAAAUAAACAUAUAAACAUAUAUAGAAAAUACAAUUCAAAAUAAUUUAAGAAAAACAAUAAUGAUAAAAAUUAGAAACACAAAUAUAGAAAUAAUAAACAUUAAAAUGACAAACAGUAAUAGAUAGAAACAUAUUAAUUGAAGCACAAAACAUUAUAAGAAAUUAAUGCAAAGUUUAGAAAUCAAUCUUUCCAUCUAGGGUUCAUUUGAGAGAGAUUUUUCGAUUUGGGGCUUUUUUUUCUUUUUGACAAACCAAAAAAAAAAAUCGUUUGUUUACUUAUUUUUUUACCCAUUCAACUUCUGCCACGUUGCGUAAGAACUGAGUCGGAAAAGAUGUUGGAUAGCAUCCGGAUGCUCCUUCACAUUCUACUGUUUUCAAUAUCUGGGUUUUAAAUAUUACUCUAAGGGCCGAUCGGAUAUAGCCAUAAAGAUGGCCUUACCCGACGCCGACAUGUUAAAUUAAAAUUAGAGGAUAUAUAAAAAGUAGAAUUGAAAAUGAUUUGUAUAAAUUUUUUAAAUCCUAUCUUAUUCAGUAAUGAAUUUUAAAAGUCUAAUGAAAUUUAGUAAGGGAAAAUUACAUUUUAACUUUCAACGUGUUAGUCAGUAGCACUUUAAAUUUCGAGAACUAGCAUUAUAAAUAACCAAAAUGAUUUCUAACACUUUACACAUUAAAACUAGCUUGUAUGUUCGCACCGCAAUGAUGGAGUAAUAAUGUCCAUCAACAAAAUAUUUAAAUUAAUUUUUAGUUUGUUUUAUAUAUAAAAAGAUAAUAAAAGAGGUGGCAAAAGAAAUAAGAAAAAAUAAAAGAGAUUUCAUCUUCAUCGACUACUCACUGUCUGAUCAUGAAUCUUCUAGAUAUUAUUUAUGUUCGUUUCGUUGACGUAAUCGCUGCCGCUGCCGCUGAUAUUAUAUUCACUUUACUGAUUGUGAUCAGAAACCGAAGAAUCAUCCCCAUUUGAAUAGGGUAAAGGUGUGAUAUUCUUGAUAUAUAUAGGAGACUAUUUGGUUCCUAACGAAAAAUCAAUCAGUUUGAAUCGACCUAGUGGAUAUACAUAUCUAAAUAUUGUAUAUAUAUUUGUGGCAAAUAUGUGGUCGGACUUUGAGUAGUAGUAGAAAUUGUAAAUGAUAAAAUUAAUUGAAAUUUAAAUUAAACAAAUAGAAUUUAACUAUUUCUUUUUUACAGACAAUAAUGAUUUAAUAUUUUAUUCUUGAAAGUAAGUAUUUUAUUUUAAAAAAAUUGAAUGGUUUAGGAUAUUUGAUUAAAACAUUAAAUGGUUUCGGGUUAUGAUAUAUGAUUAUAACCUAUAGAGAUUGUCUCAUGGUAAAAAAAACAUGGAAACAUAAUUUCUAAUUUGAUUUUUGUCUACUCAACCAAAGAUUUGAAGCAAAAAUAUUUAGAAGAAUAAAGAAGAGAAUUUAGCAUAUUAGCACCGUUUAUGUCUUUCUAUUCACGGUCUAGCACCGUUUCAGCAAGUCACACCCUUUCUACUUACCAUUUGACUCUUAUGUCCUUCUAACUAAGACAUCCGAUCGAACUAAACAAACAUUUUAUUAAACGGUGAAAAAUAAAGAAACUGUCAUUUAAAUAAACUGUCAUUUAUUUGGAAAACAGAAAAUUUACCAUUAAUUACAGUUUCCAAACUUUUUCGUUCUUCUAAGGUGGAACCCUAGAGCCGCCGCAUCUUCUCCCAGUUCAAACCGGAAUCUUACCGGAAAACACUCAUUACCCCCAAGACAGCCGUUCUUCUCUAGCCGUCAUCUGAGGCCUAGGAGCUUUUCGUCGCAACCUGUCAUCGGAGCCCUAGGUACCCAUCUUGCGAACGACAUCUAUGGCCUCCAACCGCCGCAUCACUGGGUUCUUCAAACCGCAAUCGACGCAUCCGCCUACAGAUGCAGAUAACUCUGAGGAUCCCCCCCUCUGAAUGGGAUCCUCGUCUUCCUCACCGUAUAUUCGCCACCAACCGUUACCCCGACGCCCGGCUCAAUGUCUACUCAAAACCGGAUAUACUCACUGUAAUCUACAAGGUCCUAAAAGGCACCCAAGAGUUCGAUACUAUUCUUGAUUCCCCGCUGCGGUCGUUGUUUAAGUUAAGAGUCAGCGAGUGUAGUAUCUCGUGUAAAUUGGUCCACGCGCUGCUCUGCCGACAAUUGGUAUCCAAGCGGAAGUACGAGUUGUGGACUGUUUUCGGUGGACAACCGUUACGAUUUUCGUUGAUGGAGUUUGGCGCUGUCACAGGUUUGGAUUGCUCCGAGUUCCCCGAAGAUUAUGAUCCUGAUUACCAACAUUUCCCUGCCCCCGGAGAGCAAUGUUACUGGGAUAAUCUUAUUGGUGACGACCGGAAGGCAACUUUGGCUGAUGUUUCCAAAGUUUUCGAAGACCCCAAGGUUGAUGAUUUGCAAAAGAAACUUCGUCUUGCGUUGUUGCUUAUCGUGGAUGGUGUCCUUAUUGCUUCUAGCCAAACACACCGGCCUACAUUCAAGUUUGUGGAGAUGUUGGCUGAUGUUGACUCUUUUCUAACGUUCCCUUGGGGCCGUGAAUCCUUCUUGAAGACCAUUUCUGCUAUGAUGCCUGGUAAGAAGAUUCUAACCAAACCUGCUUCGAAAAAGCUCAGAGUUCAGGGGAAAUACUCUGACCCUCUCUCAACAUUCACUGAACAACUCCAGUAGAAGACAUUCCGCCUCAAUGGUUUCCCUCUAUCUCUCCAACUGCUCGCUUAUAGGAACAUUAGUGGCCUCCUUGAUAAGAUCCCCGGUUCCAAUGACCCUCGUACCUUUCUAGAAUGGGAUUCUGUUGGUAUUCCCAAGAAUAGCUUGCAGCUCACAGAUGUCCACCAAUUCGAGCGCUCACCUGAGGUAUGUUCCACCCUAAAAUUACCUACCAAGAUAACCCAUCCACGUGGAUAACACUCUUAUGACUAGUUUUUUUUGUUUUCCCAGUUAACUAUCUCUAACUAUAUUCAUGUCGACCCACCGGAGGAGGGUUGGGGAGAGUUCGACGAUGAAGUUAAAGACCGCAAGGUUUCUUACUUGAUGUCUCUAAUUGAAGAAAGACAUGUUUUCAAAAGUAGUGAGUGGCCUGGCGGUGAUUCUUCAUUGCCUCUAAUUGUCAUUCCAGAAAAACCACGUGAUGUUAUCCAUAGGCGGCACAUUGUCUCUCGGAGAAGGAAGACAUCACAAAGGUUUCGCUCCCGUCAGUCCACGACAUCCAAGCACAAAGAUAAGCCAGUUACCCCAAUGGAUAACCAAUCUAACAUCGAAGAUCCACUCCAAAAUGAUCUCAGAUAUUGGUUUGAGGCUCAACUCACGUCUAUCCGCUCCAGUUUUGAUGCAAGGCUGAAUAAGUUGGAGUCUAAGAACAAAAAAUUGAUUGGGAAAUUAAACUCUAUGCUUUCUCGUGGUAUAUGGAAACCACGCCAUCGCCGUCAGCUCCACAUUUUCAAGAAACGUUGUGUUAAUAAUAAGAAGGAAUCACAGCCUCCCCCCCCCCCAACAAAGAGGGAGUGUGUGAUAACGCACACAUGAGUGUUCCCAAAACUGUUAACUCUGAAUUACAUGAAACGACAUUAGACACUGGUAGUCCAGAAGAUAUUCUAGACGGUGGGCACGACUGGUCAAAAUACAGUACAAAUGUAUGUAUUUUCUUCCCACUACUUGUCUUUUUUAUUUUUUUUGUUAGGUUAAUCGUGUUUGUGAUUCUAGAGGUUAUGAUUCUCUUUUUUUUUUCAACAGGAUCCUCUCGACGAGUCUAUAAACUUAGCUGCAACACCCUCUAAGAGUCAUGUACACAUUACUGUAAGCAACCCCUGUCAAGUAUGCAUCUUUUGACUCCUGUCAAGAUCUUACCUUCAACAUCUUAUCUCACAUUUUCUACCAAUCAUUUCCCCUGCAUGUUUUCCACACACAGGGUGAUCAGGACGCCAAGUUUCUCUCGCAGUUGCCAGUCCAUGCAGAGGAUAUCCAGCAAGAGGAUGCCCAGGGAGCCAAGGCCCUACAAGUCUAUGCAGAGGAUAUCCAUUCCGUGAAUAUCCAGGAAGAUGAUGUACAGGCACACGCUAUCCAGGCACAAGAUGACCAUCAACAUGGUGACCAGGCAGAGGGUGACCAGGCAGCCAAACCCCUACCAGUCGAGGCAGAGGAUAUCCAUCCAGAGGAUAACCAUGCAGAGGAUUAUCAGGUAUGAGAGUCCCUAUUCCAGGUCUUACUCACCAUUUCCUCCUACUUUAAUUUUAUUGUCCAAAGGAAGCACAUCUCUCACAAUACUUCUUCAUUCAUCCCCAUUCCGGGGAUAUCCAGGAAGAUGAUGUCCAGGCACACGCUAUCCAGGCACAGGAUGACCAUCAACAGGGUGACCAGGCAGAGGGUGACCAGGCAGCCAAACCCCUACCAGUCGAGGCAGAGGAUAUCCAUCCAGAGGAUAACCAGGCAGAGGAUUAUCAGGUAUGAGAGUCCCUAUUCCAGGUCUUACUCACCAUUUCCUCCUACUUUAAUUUUAUGGUCCAAAGGAAGCACAUCUCUCACAAUACUUCUUCAUUCAUCCCCAUAUCCUCAGGAAACUCCCGCCGCAUAUAUGUCCCAACCCAUAUAUGACACUGCACCACGUUCCACAUUAUCUAACCCCUCCAUAUCUCCUCCUUCCAACCAGCACAAUGUCAUAUAUGACACAGCUCCCAAACAGAGGCUUGAAGAGUUAUAUGAGGUAUUUUUUCCCACAUCGCAGGGACGAUGGAUAAAAUCCGCCUAUUGACAAUACAACUUCUUUUUUUUUCUUCCAUUAUGUUAUCUUACCUACUGUUAUUUCCCCCCUUAGCCAUUACCAGAUGUAUAUAUUUUACCUCCUUCCUCGGCUGUUGUUGUUGAUGAUGAAGGGAAAGAGAUUCCAGUGAGCUCCAAAACCCUGUCCCCCUGUUUUAAAAUUGUAACUUCAUAAGUUAAUCACACUCACUCUUAAUUUAUAUGUGCAGUCCCCCCCACCAAUCAAAGAGGACGUGGUCGCGAUUGAUAAUGAUGUACCUGUCCACGAAACACCUGUUCAGGUAAAAAACAUUCGCCUGUUUAUCCAUAUGGAUUGCAUUUCGUGGACACUGCCAUCUAACCCAAUACUUUGUCAACCUAGUCCAAAGCAGACGCGACUAUUCCCCCGUCCUCAAUUGGCGUUGAUGAUGUGGAUGCCGAGUUGUCGGUCAGUUACUUAAAAAUCCCUCACUUUAUAUUUCCAUUUUUGGUUAUAUAUGUACAUAAUGAUUCACAUUACUGACUCAUGGAUCGUCAACAUAAAUCUUAGACAGCUCUUGUAUUGUAUAAAGGAAACACGCAAGACGCUGAAGUAACGCAAGACGCUGAUGUAGUAUUCGAUAGACUAUUUUAUUAAAUUUCCUUUUUCCAGGUUUGAAGGAAAUGUAAUCCCCUAUUUGUUUUGUUUUUUUCCAGCACAAUGAAGAUUCCCCACCCACUUAUGUUGAAGUCAGUGAUUCAUCUCCUGCUAGGGAGAGGAAACGGGCCAAUUUGUCUGAUGCCGAAUCUGCGCUUGUUGCGUCUUUAUUGCAGAGGCCACAAUACUCCCCAUCCAUGGGGCACGUCCUAUUACCUAGAUUGGAUUAUGCGCUUUUCGAGUACUUUAAGGAAACACUAGAAUCGUCCCCUUCCACGUACGUUUUUCCAGUUUUCUCAGAUAUGGCGUUCUUGACCAUUCAUGUUUUCUAACACGUAUGGCUUAUUUUUUUCAGGGCACAUCUCACUCGCUGCGAUUUCCUAAUUGAUAACAAAUUUAUCCUCAACUUAGCGACCCUUACCCAAUGGGUGUCCACUUUGGUAAUCCCUUAACCUUUUACUUUUGUUGUAUUCGGUUCAAUUCAACUUUCAUUAUAUGUUCAAACCUUUCACAUUGGUUACACGGCACAUGGAGGUCCUUGCAUCUUUCUUACAGCAAAGACAUUCCUAUGUCCUUGAGCACGAGAGGUCUGCAAUACUUCCUCCUUGGCUGGGCAACUAUCUCCAAGGAAAGCAUCGCAGUUUUCGGGCUGCCAAAAACAAGUUACGAGUGCGUUGGGACGCACAAUUUGAAAGAGCUAUCCCCGGCAAUCCUGGCGAGUGGUUCGAGCGUAUCGACAUGAUUUACAUGCCAAUGAUUUGGGAAGAUCGGCAUUGGGUUGGGUUGUCUAUCAGUCUACCCAACUGGUGUGUAUACAUAUUGGACCCCAAUUAUGAAUUAUACGAUAAACGCAAGGUCACCAAUUUCAUAGCUCCAAUUGUAGAAAUGCUGCCAUACAUAAUUAACAAAUUCUGCCAGCCACGCAUGUCCCAGCAAAACGGUUUGUCCAAGUUCAAGUGGCAGAGAUUUGAAGACAUCUAUGUGAACAGACGUUCAGGUGAUUGUGGUCCUGUGGCGAUGAAGUUGUUGGAACUUUACGCUAAUGACAACGGCCCAGAGGAGAUGGCAGAGAUUACCGACUCAAUUGUUGAUGAAUUCAGGGCACAAUACGCCAUGGAUAUAUACACUGAAUUAGUGGCUCCUAUUUAUGCAUCCCCCGCUUGUUAAUGUUGUAUCAAUCUUGUUCCACUUAUUAACAGUACCAUCUUUGUAAACAUUUCUUUAGACUAACAUCUUAUUUAUGCAUCGAUGCUUUAUCUUCUGGAUACUCUAUUAAUUGAAGUUCUUAUCGCUUCUUAAUAGUUUAUCUACUGAAGUUGUAUUUUCGGUCCAUGUUAUAGAAGACAAAUGGUUGGAUUAAGUACACUCUCAAUCAAAAUAAUUCCAAUCAAACAUAUCCACACGGAUACCGGUCAAAGUGCACUCUCAUAGUGGAUGGUUAUGUUAUCCCAUGUGUUUUCAUUGAUAUACAAAAUAAUUCCAUGUGUUUUCUUAAUGUGUUCCCAUGUGUUUUCUUAAUAGUUUAUCUACUGAAGUUGUAUUUUCGGUCCAUGUUAUAGAAGACAAAUGGUUGGAUUAAGUACACUCUCAAUCAAAAUAAUUCCAAUCAAACAUAUCCACACGGAUACCGGAUCAAGUGCACUCUCAUAGUGGAUGGUUAUGUUAUCCCAUGUGUUUUCAUUGGUAUACAUGGUUUUCAUUUUCAUUAUAAAUUUGGAACAUAUCCAAUAUAAUCAUAUCCACACUGAUUCCUGAUUGAGUCCACUCACACAUAAUUUUGUGAGAAACCUAUCUUCUUAAACAAAUCCACACGGAUACCAGUUUAAGUCCAAAGUCCAACUACAUGUUGCUUUAUGUCUUUCCAUAUAAAGGGGAACGCACUCCCUCAGAACUUAUGACCUAUAGCUUCUUGAUUCUUUAGCUAAACGUAAUGGAGGCCAACCUGGUUCGCGAUGUUAGUGUUAUAUAUUCGUAAUUCCAUCUAUAAAAUUUUUAGAUUGUGCCUCACCCUUUCUCUUUCGCAGGUCCACUCCGAUCGAACUAUCCACUUCCCAGCUCCCAUACUAGCAAAGAUCGUCAGCUACGUUUCUAUCGGUGGGGUCGAUUCUCUGAGGAAUUGGAUACACGCUGGCCCAGCAGGCAAAGACGCUGCGUUGUCCCCUGAGUGUCUCUCUGUUGUCCGUCUGGACCAAUCUCCUCACAUUCUAUGGUGGUCUAUGCCACAUUCCAAGUUCUACCUGUUCUUCUGCAAGUGUUUACAGCACAGCAAUCCAUACGCUGUGUACGAUGUUCUUAACAAAGGGGUAGUUUUUGAGAAUUUGACCAGAGAUUUCUACAGAAAUGGUAAAUGGUUAACGUUGUACGGACCUAUCACCAGACUUGGAGCUGUUGAAGAAGACGAGUUUGGAGGUUACGUCUACCACCCACCGAGACUUGGGAGACGUGUUGUCCGGCGGAUCUGCAACCGCUGCAACAAAUCAUGUGCCAACACGUGCCCACGUCCCAACGUUUGAGUUUAGAUGUGUCUAUCCACCUACAAAUAAUAAUAAAGUAAUCUUUUUUGGUAUGGUGGAUACCAAUGUUUUGACAUUGGGUUUUAUUUAUGUACUGUCCCAUCCCGCUGUUUUGGGAUGUUCUCUGUUAGUAAGCAAACGUCGUAUUGCCCAGCGAAUUUUCCUGAGGUACUUUUCUGUACCGUCCUUAUUAACUGUUGAGUUUUUGUGUUUGCAAACCUUUGUUGUGUAAUCAACAUACUACUUUACCCACAGCUCCACGUAUACCACACUAGUUUCACGUACCAUCCUUUCAACCUGACAUUCCUCCAAUUUUAAACUGUAUAUUCUACUCCAUUAAUAAAUGGUGGGGACUCUAAUUUGUGAGGGGCUUUUGUCCAAUAUUAGCUAAUUCAGUAAUGAUGGUACUUAAUUCUUCUACCUGCCAUCUUUCCCGCUUUGUUGUUAGGUUAAAGGGAUGCCUAGGUUAAAUGUCAUUUUAUAAACAGUUUGACCAGAGCUUAUGAACCUAACAACAUAUACAAUCCUUAACAUAAACGCAGCUAACACCCAUCUGUUCCUCUUCAAUGGAUCAACGUCAACCCGAAGGCACUUCUUUGGAGGUACAUUAUGUCCACACAGACUUAUCCUCUUUUGUUUUUGUUUUAUUGUUUUAAUUUCCCUAUCCUCGCACGUCUGUCCAUCGAGUCAUAUCCACAUCCCCGCUCCCCUGCUAGCGAAGAUUGUAUCCAUUGUGGCUGAAGACGGUGUUGACUCACUCAAGAGCUGGAUCAAAGCAGGUCCACUGGGUAAGGAAGCUGUCUUCUCUUCCGAAACACUUUCCACUGUUCGUCUUGACAAAUCUCCCGAUUUGCUUUGGUGGUCCAUGCCACACUCCAAAUAUCACAGCUUCUACUACAAAUGUUUAGCUGAGAACAACCCUUACGCGAAUUGGGCUGACCUCAACAAAGCUUUUUCGUUUGAAACUUUAAUAGAGCAGUACUACAGAACUGGAAGAUGGGCACCUGCGUUACCUGACCACCACCCGGCGGAGAACUUCUUACUACCACCUACGAUGCAGUUGAGAGUCGGAAGACCUCGCUGCCCACGUUGCAGGAGACCAUCCCAUCACCCUUCCACAUGUCGCCAUGGUUAGACUGUGUAGUUAACUAUCAGCUGGAUGCCCCCAUAUAUUUCCAUGCUUCCAUGUGUCUCCAUUUAAUCGGCUCGAUGUUUUAUCCCAUUUCUUUUUUUUUUUCAUUCUACCUCCAUGUGUUCUAUCUUCAUUUUCUCUCUAUUGUUAUUUUACCGUGGAUUUGAGAUAUCUAUAAUUUAUGUUUUUCUGUGAUUUUCAGUCCAUGUUUUGGAAUCUCUUUCCUUCCGGUGACUCUAUCUAUAUUUUCAAUCCAUCUUUCUGUUCUAUCUUCGAUACCAGUUCAAGUACAUUCAGACAUAUCCACAUGGAUAGCCUCUAAAUAACCCAAUCUCCACACAAAAAUUUCCACAUGUAAUCCAUUCAUUUUUUUGUUGAAUACCUAUAAAAGUCUGAAUAUCCACCUGGAUAUAGUCUCCUAACCGACUAAAAAUGUAAUCCAAUGCUGGUUUUGUAAUUUUCCCAACUAUAUGUGAUUUUUAGCUGGUUUGUGGACGGACAACCUUCUUACUGGUUUGUGGUUGCAUACUAUAUCCACACAUACAUAUCCACAGGGAUUCGAUCAGAUUCACACAUACGACUUCUAUAUCUCACAUGUUUGUUUAGGACAUCUGUUUUAUACGCCAACGUUGGUGUUCAUGAAACACAAUCUUGCAGGGACUAAGGAAAACACAAUCUUGCAGGGACUAAGGAAAACAAUACAUUAUGAAAACAAACACCCAUAGAUAACGCAUACACUUUUACGAAACCAACAUGAUAUCCCUUGCCAAAUAGAAGAGAAUGCAGUCCAUACACCUCUCACCGUUACACUCCCCAAGCAUAUCAUGCUCCUCCCAACAGUGUGGGAAAUCAUCAACAUGCCACGUUUCGGAAUAUGUACCCCACCGUCGAGGUCCAACCAUGUAAAUGUGGUACAUCAACGAGUUCGCCAUUCGUGAUAGCGCUUCAAAACUAUAUUUCUUCUUAAGCGCGUAGUAGUCAUCACUCUUAAGUGUCCCCGCACAGCUUAGCAACAUGUGAUACGCCAGAUUAGCCACACCGUAUACAUCCUUGACACGUUCCAAUGUUACGAGUGACUCGUUUAGAUCACAAGUCCUAAAUCCUAGCAGCAGGCCUUUCACAUACAGCGCGUACGGAUUCCCAGCAUUUAGACACCACCCGAAGAAAUCGAAUAAUCUGCUGCUCGGUCGCCACCAUCGAACAAAAUCGUAACUCCGAUCUAACCGGACAGGAAACAACGUCUCUUGCGAGAGUACAGCGAUCUUCCCCUCCUUCCCAGUCCGGAUCCAGCUUGCGAGUUCUUCUAUCCCCUCUUCUGCCACAUAGCUAACGAUCUUCGCUAGUAUUGGAGCUGGGAUGUGGACAUUAGGAACAAUACCUUCCUGCAUCCCACACAUGACAAUCAGACGUUACAUUAAUACACAUAACAAUAAUACUCGUCAAAAAUUGGAUUUUUUUUGUGGAUAGACAAUUACAAUUACCUUCCCUGCAACCGCCGCACCACUACUCUCGCCAACCGUUACAGGACGUUCUCGGCGAACAAGAGAACUGCGUCCGUAGAAAUGUCUUGACGCAGUUAUCCUAUGUGGAUCUGCCAUCUCACCCUCGUCACUCUCAUAUCCGUGAUCUGGUUCCAUUUCAAUACGGUAGUAGUUUUUCUCUUCUCACGAACAUGUCCCUUAUUUAUUGCAGCUUAAACCUAACACCUAUAGGUCUGUGGGAUUUCCAACGCUUGUUUGGAGGGAAUACUCCCGCCUAAACUUCCUGCCCUACUUUUUCCGCAACCACCAACAUUGGUUCAUACAUCUACCCACCGGUCAUCUCUUUUUCCAAAGCACUUCAGUGUUACAUAAAUCUGUUCUAUUUAUCAGUACAUGUGGACAAUGCCCUGUGGACAAGUUAUAAUAGACAAAUAACUAUAUCCAUAUGAAGAUGUGCGAAGCCAUUAGUAAACCAGAUCCUAAUCACGCUUACUGUUUGUUAAACAUGAGAAAGUAAAUGACAUAAUUCAUAAGGUGUUUCAUUAUGGAUAAUGCAUAGUAAAUGACAUAAUCCAUAGUGCCUCCCAUUUACACUUAUACUAAUCACGCUUACUGUUUGUUAAACAUGAGAAAGUAAAGGGAAUUCUUUUGAUUAACUCCACUAAGACAAAAUUUUAAGUUCGAAGCCAUGUGGAUACCUUUGACCUUUACUUCAUAAGUUAGGUAGCUAUUUGGCACAUGUACAAUCCCAUGAGAUUUUAUUGGUUGUUAAACAUGACAACACUCGUCGAAAGAUAAUGGGCUCACAUUUUAGCCUAAUUAAUAUAGACAUUAAUAUACUGAACACACAUAUCCUUGAACAUAUCCUUAACCGCUUGGCUACAGCCCAAAAAAUUACCAAUGUAACUUAUCCCCCAUUACAACCUAAACCAUCGGCUUUUUGUCUUUCACAAAAAAAUACCAGACUAACCGAAAACCCCAUUACAACUGUGUGGCCUGACAAUGUAGUCCAAAAAAUUUCAUCACACAUAUCCGUUAAUUGUUUAGCUUAACCAAAACACCCAUUACAUCAAAAACCUCCCGGGUGUCGACUUUUCCAUCAUCCAUAACUCUCUUCAGAUGGGGUUGUUACACCUAGUCCUAUUGUGCCCAGUCCCUUUGCACCUCGAACAUCUCUGAAUUUUCGCCGGAGCUGUCGAAGAUUUCUAUUCAAACAAACAAUAACUCAAUGUCAAACCAUCACAACCAUCAAAUAUAGAUAAUGGCAAACCAUCACAACCAUCAAUGUCAAACGUGCCAAACAUUGUAAAGAUUCAAAUAUCUUACUGGGAUUUCUCCAAUGGACGGUAUCCUCGAUUGUUUAGGCCUCCCGGAUGGCCUCCGUGCAUUAGGUGGCAGCAGCUCCCUAUAGACAAUCUCGUCAGACAACUCUAUGUUGGAUGCAUCAAACUCUGGGGUAAUGACCCCUGCAUAAGUAGCUGCCCAUGUAGUUGUUUUGUAAAACUCCCCUACCAGUGUAGCAUGAGGAAUCCCUUGAGUAUUUGCUGCCAACAUCGCAUGGCCACAUGGGAUUUUGUCUUUGUCAUAUUUUUUGCACGUGCACUUCUUCAAAUCCAGCAAAACAUGAUGCUUCCCACCGAACAACCCUACCACUUCAUAACUCCAGCUACUUAUAGUACCAACCUUGCUACUCUUUACCUCCACCAUACGCUUUGUCAUCUGUUUAUCUACCUCGGGUGUCACCAAACCCUUAUGCUUCCCAGCCUUCUUCCUACGAGCACUAAACCAGCGAGUAAGCAUAGCACGGAUGAAUUUCAGAAGCUCCACUAUUGGCGAAGCCCUUCCUUUCCACAAAGCCUUGUUCAAAGUCUCUGCGAUGUUGCUAGUCAUAAGGUUAUAACGUUCUCCUUGGAAAUAUGCCCGUGACCAAUGAGCAGCCCCAAUUUUGUCCAAGUACUUAGCACAUUCCAUGUUUUUCGCCCUUAUAUUUUUGUAUAACACCCUGAACGCACCAACUGUGUAAGCAUAACCAGCGUUGCUAACCAUCUUCGCCAAACCUUUGCUAUGGAAUCUAGCAUUAACAUUCCUAGCCAAGUGAACUAUACAAGCUCCAUGCUUAGCUUUUGGGAAAACACUUCUCUUAGCCGUGUAUAUAGACUGGUUAUGAUCUGAAAUUAUCGUUAGCGUAUCACUGUCAGCAAUAAUCCUCUCUACCUUCUGGAAAAACAAUGUCCAAGCUUCAUCAUUCUCGCUAUCCACAAUUGCGAACGCUAGGGGGAACACUUGGAAGUUAGCAUCCUGUCCACUUGCUGUCAACAAUACUCCCUUAUAUUUCCCGAUCAAAUGUGUCCCAUCCACAACUAGCACUCGCCGUAGAUGCCUAAAACCUUGGAUUGACGCACCAAAUGCUAGAAACAUAUACAAGAAUCGCUCUUUUCCAUCAUCUCCAACUACAGUUUUAAUGUCAGUCACGGUGCCAGGAUUUCCAAGCUUCAAUGCGUGCAAAUAAUCAGCAAGUUUGUCAUACUAUUCUUCCUCUGUCCCAAACAAAUUCCCCUGGGCCUUCUCCCGCGCUCUCCAACAUUUGCUGUAAGAUGCAUCAACCUUAAGCUCUUCCAAUACUAGCUGUUGCAAAUCCAUUGGUACAAGCCCCUUUGAGGGAUCACUGUAUUUAGCUUUAUAAACAGCUGCUAUUACUCUCGAUGUUGCCUUCUUCUUGUACUCAUUUCUUGUUUCCACGGGGCAAGUGUGUUCAAGUGAAGCUUUCCUUAUUUCAUAAUAACCACUGUUUCUCAACUCACAACACAACAUCCUCCAAUCACAUCUUUCAUCCACCCAGUUUAGCACAAAACAAUCCUUCCUGGUUCUCGUUUGUCUGAAAUGGAACAUUUUUUUAUCGCAUAUAUAGCUAUCCCUAUUUGGCAAUCCUCCUUACUUGCGAAUACUUUGCCCUUGUAUAUCCCUCUCUCGUCAUCAUCCCAAUCAAGAUCCGGUAUCGCUUCCCUCACAUACUCUGUAUCAUCAAACAAUGGUGGAAUAUCAAAUUCCUCAUCAUCUAUCUCCUCUAACUUACGUUUCUCUGCAGGACGUGUCGUCCUCUGCCCAUUACUUUCACCAAGCGGAUCACCUAACCCCCCUCUUUGUGGAUAUCGAACAGCCCCCUUAACAUCUUCCUCCUUUUUCAAGUUCACACUUUCAUCAAAAGGGUCAUGUGAGCUCCACAUUACCUCAACUGGGUUGGUCCGACCAAAAUCAUCUCCAAUGAAAUUUCCCCAGAACUCUCUAUCAUAACCUUUAGGAGACACCACAACAUCAGUUUCUUCUGGUUCCACCCCCUCCAUUUCACCCCAUUCACCUUCCGCUUCCAAACUUCCACCACCAGUCUCCCCACCUUCCUUCGUUUCUCUCACCACCUCGUCAACAUCAUCUAGUAGAUCUGCAUCAGAUUGCGUAGUAAUGAUUUCAGGUGGUUUUGAAGCAGGUGUAGACGUACCAGGAGUAGACGAUGUCAGGAAAAUAUCUUCCAAAUCAUUCUCGCUUCCACCUGAACUCUUACCAGAAGAGUAACUCCCGCAUCCUCUCUUCACGCCACCCUCACACUCUGCUUUCCCGGUUGCUAUUUCCACACCUCUUUUUCUGUAUUCCCCAAACUUAACAAACAUGUUCAAGCACUUGUUUGAGCGGAACAGACUAUUGAAAUACUCCAAACCACUGGGGGUAGUGACCAGCACUGGAGGAGUUCUCGCCCCUGUCGUGAACUCCAUACUAUUGGGUGGACAGAAGCUGAAACUAGCCUUUUUCACCCCGACGUUAAACUCCGACACGACAGCAUCUUCAAAGUCUCCCAGAGACAUAUCCUCCGACACCGGCACCGCUCUCGAAACCAAAUACUUGUCCACUUCAAACCUCCAAAUCCCAUCCAAGCAAAGAGACCACUCUCCACACAGAACGAUACAAUGUCCAUCGAAACCAACCUAAUCCACAAAAACAUAGCAUAGUUAGUUUUCAAAAGUUUCGAAUCCACCCAACUCCAUAACAAAAUUGGGAAUCAUGUAUCCACGCAAAAAACCUUUGAAUCAGACAUGUCGGCUGUUCGGGAGCAUUCACAAAAUACAAUUUACUUCUUUUCCUUAUCCACACAACAUCAUAACCUUAAAAAAAUUGGUUCCCAAAUAUCAGCCGCACGAUCUAUGUCAACUACAGUUUAUAACUGACGGUUCAGAUCUAUUUUAAAGGAACUUCUUUAGUUAGUAUCUAGUUAACGCUCUUUUUUAUGUCCUCCAACAUGUGAGGUUAUUAUCGUCCAUAAACGUAGUCUACAGUGCCAAAAACAUUGAAAAACGGCGCCUCAUCCCAAAAGGGUGUCAUAUUGUAACAAAACAUAGACAAACGGUGCUAUCAAGCAACCUUCCCAAUAAAGAAUUGAUGAUGAUUUUGAUUGUUCUUCUCAAUUUUAUUGCGCGAGAUGAAGAGCGAUUGUAAGUCAGAGUGAUGACGUUUGAAGAAAACUAGAGAAUCGGAAAAAGGAAAAUCAUUCCAUUUUUACUGCUCUCACUUUUUUCUCUUUGUGUACGAUUUUUCAGAUCUAGUUUUGUUUCUUUAUUGUUUUGCCCAGAUCUUCAUUGUGGCUUGACUUUUCAGAAGAGAAAGGGCAACAAGAGUGAACUUUCCAUUCAUUCCCAUCAGCGUAGAGGUGGGGUUCCGACAAACAAUGCAGCUGUGACAUGGCUGAGGAUCCCUGAUUUAGGUAUCUCCCGUUGAAAACUACCGAGGUUUUAUGUAUUUUAUAAACCAUAUUAAAGUUUAUAAUUUUCAUUAUUUAAAAGGGGUAUCUUUGAAAAUAGAUAGAAAAUGGCGUAUUUUUUAAAAAAUGUACACCAAAAGGGGCAUUCUCAAAAAUUCUCAAACAAAAUUAUUGUAAAAACCUCUAUAUAUUAGUAUUCAAUAAACUAAUAAUCACUAAUAAAAUUUUUCCCGUUUCAAAUUAGGUCAAUAUAAUUUUGUAUCUCUUUGUAUACUUGGAUUCCACGUCAGCAUGACUUAUGCACACUUGGAUUCCACAUCAGCAUGACUGCUGAACACAUUGAUGCCACAUCAUCGUUAAUUAAACAUUUAUCACGUUUUUGUAUGUUUAGGUACAAAAACUAAACUUUAUGUUUGAAAUUGAAAUUAUUUAAAAGUGCAUGUAUGUUAUAGCACAUGCGAUAGUUCAAUGUAUAAAUUCAACACCGUGUAAUUGUGCCAUACAUAGAUAUAAGUUAAGAUACAAAUAUAAUAUUACCAUUAAUGAGAAAUUGUAUUUUGUUUUAUAAAUACAAUUAUUCCAUUGGCAAUACAUGUAGUUAAAUUUUCCUAUUUUUGUCUUCAACUUACAACCGUCUUUCGACUAUUUUUGCCUGUUUGUUUGCUUGUGACCAGUGACAGUGACAUCGAUUAGUGACAGCGACCAAAACAUGUUCAUUUGCCUGUCGAUGAUCCCGCGACAGUCGCCAGAGACCAGCUACAGCAAUUUUUAGUCCUAGAAAAUUUCAGCGAUCAUCAGCGAUCAGUCGCUGCAACAUGUCGCUAGAUUAAGCGAUAGGCAAAUGAACAACAUAGCGACUACAAAUCUAAAAAGUGUUUAAUUAAAUUGAUUAAAGUUAAAUAAAUUAAAUUUUGAUCAAAAUUAUUGAAAAUUAAACUAAAUAUAAUAAAUCACAUAAACAAUUUUUUUAAAAAAAUAUUAAUUUAAUGUAAUUUAAUUAUAUUCUAAAUAAAUGAAUUAUAAUUAAAUUAAAUUUAACAAAAUUAAAGUGAAUAAAAUAAAGAGAAAAUUGUGGGUUAUGCCCUGAAUAGUAACAAAACUUUUAAGGAAUGCCAUUUAAAGAAAUCCUUUCUCCCUUACCCCAUUAUCUCUCUCUUCUUCUUCAUCUUCAUCUUCAUCUUUUUUUUUUAAUUAUUUCAACAACACACAGUACUGACGGAUUUCAACAACACACAGUACUAACGGACCAGAUCCGACGGCCGAACUCCGAUGGACCAGAUCCGGCGGACCAUAGCCAAUUCCGGUGAACUAUAACCAGCUCCGUAGACCAGUUUCGGCAGACCAGAUUCGACGGACCAGUUCCGACAGACCAUAACUCCAGCAGACGAGUUCCGGCAGACCACAGUCAGUUCCGGCAGACCACAGUCCGGGGGACAAAUUCCUAGGGACCAGAUCCGACAAACCAGUUCCGACAGACGAGAUCCGAUGGACCAGAUCUAAUGGACCCGAAUCGGUAGACCAAGCUUGUCUAUCCUACAGUUCUCUUGAAACCACAAAUAAUUGAGUAGAAUAUGAAACAAGUGAUGCAUCUAUGGAAGAUAUCCAUCAACGAUCUAUCUAGGUGUACACUUUGGAUCACACAUUUGUGCGUAGAUGGACUAGAUCCAGUGGACUAGAUCCGAUGUCCAGAUCCGAUGUCUGUAAUAUGUCCAUUUUUGUUUCCUAAUUUGUUGUCCAUCAUGCGUAUAGAGUAAAGUAAAUCUAGUUUUUCAUAAACGAACUUGUCCACAAUAUAUUUCUUAGAUGAAUAGAAAAGAAAUUGUCCAUAAUCGAGUGUGGACAAAAAUCAAAGAGUGUCGACAAAGAAAAACUUGUCUAUUGCUUAAUGUCCGUAAAAGUCAGCCUUUUUUGUUUUCCUUCCUUCCUAUUUUAGCAAAACUCACUCAACAAUGCUGAGGGCAAAAUUGUCCAAGUUUUCUUCUUUGUGGCAUGUUUUGAAAGACAUUAUUGAUAAUGACACUUCCACAAUUUUGAGUUUUCAAAAUGGCAUAAUACAUAAAAUUCCGUAAAAUAAAACUAAGACAUAAAUUCGUGAUUUGAAAAAAUAUUAUUAAACUAUUUCAUAAUGUAUAUGUAAAUUAUAUUGUAAAUAUUUUUAUAAUGUAUAUGUAAAUUAUUUUUUAUUUGAAAAUACAAAAUAACAAAAAUUAAAGAGAACUUUUGAGAAAUGCCCCUUUUGGUGUAUCCUUUUUUAAAAAUAUCCCCAUUUUCUAUCUAUUUUCAAAAAUACCCCUUUUCAAAUAUGAAAAAUUGCAAACUUUUAUAUACUUUAUAAGGUACAUCUAGAUCAUCAUUACUACUAAGAGAUUCAAUCCAAAUAUUUAUAAAGUUAUAAAAGUUUCUAAACGGCAUUUAUAAGGCUUUUAUAAGGUUUUUAAAAGGUUUACAAAGUUUUUAUAUAGUUUUAAAUGAUUUUUAAAAGGUUUUUAAAAGGUAUUUAAAAAAAUGGUAUUGGAAAAUGGUAUUUAUAUAUACACACAUACAAAAAUAGUUUGUGGAGAAUUUUUGAGAAAUACCCCUUUUGGUGUACCCCUUUUUAAAAAUACCCCUUUUAUCUAUCCAUUAUCAAAAAUACCCCUGUUUAAAUAUGAAAAAUUAUAAUUUUUAUAUGGAUUAUAAGGUACUUCUAUAUAAUAACUACUACUGGGAGAUUCGAUACAAAUAUUUUAUAAUGUUUUAAAAUGUUUUAAAUCGUUUUUACAAGAUUUAUAAGGUUUUUAAAAGGAUUUAUAAGGUUUUUAAAAGGUUUUUAUAAGUUUUUACGGUAUUUAUGAAAGUUAUAUAAAAUUUUAUACACAUACAAAGCUAAUUUUCGUAUAUUUAUAAGCUUACACAUAUAUUUGGAUUGAUUUCAACAUUUUUAGUGGUUAUUUUGAUAAAGUUGGAAAAUAGGGUAUUUUAGAAAAGUGGUAUUUGAAAAGGUUCAUCUUUUUAAAUUCCCUCUAUUUUGUGUGUAUAUAUAUAAGCUUACACAUAUUUUUCUGAUAAAUUUCAAAAUUUUAGUGACUUUUCGAUCAAAUUUGAAAGAGAGAUACUUUUAAAAAAUGAUAUUAGAAAAUAGUAUUUUUGAAAUUCUUCCAAAAUUAAAACAAAAACGACAUUCGCUAGGGACAGAUACGAACAACAUAGCGACAGUCGCCAGCAACAGUUUUUACAGUCGCCAGCGACAGAUCUUACAGUCGCUAGCGAUCAGGCAAACGAACAGGACAGAUGUACUGCACAUUACUUUCCAUUCAUAAAAAUAAAUAGUUAUCAUUUAUUAUUGCAGUUCUCCCGUCAAAAUUCUGCAGGUAGGAUAAAAAAUAAAAUAUUUUUAUUUUAUAGUCAUGAUUUUAACUGAUAAAGGAGUGCAGAACAAACACAGCUAUUUUAAAGUGUUUAAUAUAUGAUCUGCACUUGAACUGCCAGAUCUGCUCAAUCUACUUUUAUUCUGCUAGAUCUGUUUAAUACGCCUGAUCUGCUCUGCUUGUUAUGCUUUCUCCUUUCGAAGCCUUAAGAGAGCGAACUAACGUAGAUUACUUAUUUAUAUAUUACUUACCCGAAUCUACUUAACUAAAAAUUUAACUUGAUUUAGUUAAUGAAAAAUAAAGCAUGAUUUACAUUUUACAACACUAGAUUUUGAUACAAAACUUAUAAUAAAUAAUUCAAUAGUAUCGGAUAGUACGUAAAUUUAAAAUUUGUUACAUGAUUGAACGAUACCCUUAAACACCAUUACUAAUCAAAUAAAUACAACUUUUGAAUGUACGACUACGUUAGAACAAUAAAAACAAAAGUUAACAAGCAUCACUCAAGUUUUAUCAACACUCACAAGUUACAAGUCUCUUCUUGACCAAUAUUUACUAGUAUAUAUCUUCCAAAACACAGUGACUUGCUAAUUACUCAACAGAAUGUUCAACGUAUAACCACUCGAACCUAUCAGAUUAGAUAACCGGUUUAAUGGUUUAGUAAAUUAACUUGUAUAGAUGCUGUAUAGUAAUAGUAUAUAUACGUUGUACAGUUGAUCAUUUUACAAUUAAUGAGAAUAAACAGAUUAAUAUCUCUAACAAACUUUUCUCAUCUCUCUCAAUCUCAUGAACGCUAACAUGGUAUCAGAGCCAUCAAUGGUGAUUUCUACGUAAUUCCGAUCAGAUUUCGUCGUUUUUGAGCUCGAUUCUUUGUUUCCGCCGAUUGUUUUGAAGAUCCGAUGGUGUCUGUUGCUCGUGGUAUACGGAAAUCGACUCGAUCGAAGUCCUCGACGAGUUCCGCCGUUCGCAAGCAAUCACAGUCCACCGGAAAUGUUGAAUCACCUCCGGAUUCUCCUCCAGUUGCACCGUCUCGUGCUUCUAGAGCUUCGCGAGGUUCUCUCUCUCUUGGAUCUGAAGAUCCGACGCAGUCUCCGUUCUUUAUGCAUAGCGCUGAUCAUCCAGGUUUAAACAUCAUCUCUCAUCGUUUAGAAGAAACGAAUUAUGGUGACUGGAGUGUUGCUAUGCGUGUUUCUCUUGAUGCUAAGAAUAAGAUCGGGUUUAUAGAUGGAUCUUUACCUCGUCCGUUGGAAUCGGAUAGUAAUUUUCGUCUAUGGUCUCGAUGUAACAGUAUGGUGAAGUCCUGGCUCUUGAAUUCUGUAUGUCCUCAGAUAUAUCGUAGCAUUUUACGUAUUGAGAAUGCUUCUGAUAUAUGGCGUGAUCUCCAUAGUCGAUUUCACAUGACUAAUCUCCCACGCACAUACAAUCUCACUCAAGAACUUCAGGAUUUUCGUCAAGGAUCUUUAUCUCUCUCUGAAUAUUAUACUCGCUUGAAGACUUUAUGGGAUCAGUUGGAUAGUGCAGAGGAGAUCAAUGAUCCUUGUACUUGUGGAAAAGCUGCUCGUCUGCAACAGAAGGCAGAGAGAGCUAAGAUAGUAAAAUUCCUAGCUGGAUUGAAUGAGUCUUAUGCUAUCAUUCGCAGACAGAUUAUUGCUAAGAAAGUUCUUCCUAGUUUAGCUGAGGUGUAUAACAUUUUGGAUCAAGAUAACAGUCAACAAGGGUUCUCAAAUGUUAUUGCUCCACCUACAGUUUUUCAAGUCUCUGAGAGUGUUCCUGCCAGCUCUGUUUUUGUUUCUAACCCUGCAGAUCAAACCAUAUGCUAUGUUCAGAAUGGUCCUAAUAAAGGAAGGCCAAUUUGUUCAUUUUGCAAUCGUGUUGGUCAUAUUGCAGAAAGAUGUUACAAGAAACAUGGCUUUCCCCCUGGUUUCACUCCUGCUACAAAGAAACAGUCUACUGAGAAGAAUCAGAAAUCUCAACCUCUGGCUGCUCAAGUUGCUAUGAUGCCUACAGAACCUGAUAGUUUGGAAUCUAUGAUUGGGAACAUGAAUAAAGACCAGCUCAAACAGUUCAUUGCUAUGUUCAGUUCUCAGCUUCAGUUUCAACCAAACAAUACCACAGCUGUAGCUUCUACUUCCAAUUCCACUAAUACUGGUAUUUCUUUCUCUCCAUCUACCUAUUGUUUUGUUGGAAUCUUGACUGUUGCCAAUAAGACUCUAUCCUCACAAUCAUGGGUGAUAGAUUCUGGGGCUACACAUCAUGUUUGCCAUGAUAAGAGUCUCUUCUUGAUGAUUGAUCCGAAUCUUGUGAGUUCAGUAAACUUACCUACAGGAUCUACAGUCAAGAUUAGUGGUGUUGGCACUGUUAAGAUCAAUGACAACAUUCUUCUCAAGAAUGUGUUGUUCAUUCCAGAAUUUAGAUUGAAUCUCCUGAGUAUUAGCUCUCUCACUGAUGAUCUUGGUUCUCGUGUAAUAUUUGAUCCGUCUACUUGUGAAAUUCAGGAUCCUAUCAGGGGAAUGAGCAUUGGGAGAGGUAGGAGAGUGUCAAAUCUAUAUGUGUUGGACAUUGAAGAAACACCAGUCUCAGUGAAUGCAGUUGUGGAUAUCAGUUUAUGGCAUAGAAGACUUGGUCAUGCUUCUUUACAGAGAUUGGAUGUCAUUUCUGAGUCUUUAGGAACUACCAAGCAUAAGAAUAAAGGAACAGAUUUUUGUCAUGUCUGUCACUUAGCUAAGCAGAGGAAGUUGUCUUUUCCUUCUCCAAAUAACAUUUGUAAUGAAACCUUUGACAUGUUGCAUAUUGAUAUUUGGGGACCUUUCUCUGUGGAAACAUUUGAUGACCAUUCAAGAGCAACAUGGAUUUACUUGUUAAGGAAUAAGUCAGAAGUCCUCACAGUAUUUCCAGCUUUUAUUCAACAAGUUGAGACUCAGUAUAAUAAGAAGGUAAAAGCAGUGAGAUCAGAUAAUGCUCCUGAGUUGAGUUUUACAAGCUUCUAUCAACAAAAAGGGAUUAUGUCUUUCCAUUCCUGUCCAGAAACUCCUGAGCAGAAUUCAGUAGUGGAGAGGAAGCAUCAACAUAUUCUGAAUGUUGCUAGAGCAUUGAUGUUCCAAUCUCAGGUUCCUUUGUCUUUUUGGGGUGAUUGUGUGUUGACUGCAGUCUUUCUCAUCAACAGAACACCAUCACCGCUUCUUGCUAACAAGGCACCAUAUGAGAUUCUCACUGGUACACCUCCUAAGUAUGAUCAGAUCAGAACGUUUGGAUGUCUUUGUUACAGUUCAACAUCACCAAAACAGAGACACAAAUUUCAACCACGAUCAAGAUCAUGUGUGUUUUUGGGCUAUCCAGCUGGUUACAAAGGGUAUAAGUUGAUGGAUUUGGAGAGUAACAAAGUUUUUGUAUCCAGGAAUGUGAUUUUUCAUGAAGAUGAGUUUCCAUUGGCCACAUCUCAACAGUCUGAGGCAUCUCUGGAAUUUUUCACACCAAUGGUUCCUGUGCAUACAACUGAACAGCAAACUCCUCUUCCUUCUUUUCAUCCCUCACAAAUUUCUGAUAUAUCACUACCCAUUUCUUCACAAAGAAUUCGGAAACCUCCUGCUCAUUUGUCUGAUUAUCAUUGCAAUUCUAUGCAAUCUCUUUUCAAAUAUCCUAUUUCAUCUACUCUUUCUUACUCUAAAAUUUCUCCUUCUCAUUUGUGUUAUAUCAAUAAUAUCACAAAGAUUCAUAUUCCAAAUUCAUAUGCUGAAGCACAGGGCACCAAAGAAUGGUGUGAGGCAGUUGAUGCAGAGAUUGGUGCAAUGGAAUCCACUAAUACAUGGGAAGUGACAACAUUACCACACGGGAAGAAAGCAGUAGGUUGUAAAUGGGUGUUUACUGUGAAGUUUUUGGCAGAUGGUACACUUGAGAGAUAUAAAGCAAGGUUAGUGGCUAAAGGUUAUACUCAGAAAGAAGGUUUAGAUUAUACUGAAACCUUUUCUCCUGUCGCUAAAAUGGCCACUAUCAAGCUAUUGCUCAAAGUAUCAGCUUCUAAGAAAUGGUUUCUGAAACAAUUGGAUGUAUCGAAUGCAUUUUUGAAUGGAGAAUUGGAUGAAGAAAUCUUCAUGAAGUUGCCUGAAGGAUAUGCAGAUCGAAAAGGCAUUGUUUUACCACCUAAUUCAGUUUGCAGGUUGAAAAGGUCCAUUUAUGGCCUGAAACAGGCUUCAAGACAAUGGUUCAAGAAGUUUUCAACCUCCUUAUUGAAUUUGGGUUUUCAGAAGACUCAUGGAGAUCAUACACUCUUUCUUCGCAGUUAUGAUGGUGAUUUUGUGGUUGUUUUAGUGUAUGUCGAUGACAUAGUCAUUGCAAGUACGAGUGAAGUUGCUGCAGCCAAGCUCACUUCUGACUUGCAGGCUCAGUUUAAACUUCGUAAUCUUGGGGAUUUGAAGUAUUUCCUCGGCUUGGAGAUUGCUCGUACUGCUGCAGGUAUUUCUUUAUGUCAGCGGAAAUAUGCUUUGGAAUUGCUUACUUCCACUGGCAUGCUUCAUUGUCAACCUGCUUCUACACCUAUGGUUCCAAAUCUGAGAAUGAUGAAGGGUGAUGGUGAUUUACUUGAAGACAGAGAAAUGUAUCGUCGCAUUGUUGGAAAAUUGAUGUAUUUGACCAUCACCAGACCAGAUUUGAGCUUUGCUGUUAACAAGUUGUGCCAAUUUUCUGCUGCUCCACGUACAACUCAGUUGAUUGGUGUUUAUCGUGUCUUGCAGUACAUCAAAGGCACUGUAGGUCAAGGUCUAUUCUACUCUGCUUCUCCUGAUCUUACUUUGAAAGGAUUUGCAGAUGCAGAUUGGGCAUCAUGUCCUGAUAGUCGUCGCUCCACUACUGGUUUCACCAUGUUUGUUGGUGAUUCCCUUAUCUCUUGGCGCUCCAAGAAGCAAACAACAGUUUCUCGCUCUUCUGCAGAAGCUGAAUACAGAGCUCUUGCUCUGGCUACUUGUGAGGUCAUUUGGUUACAGACUUUGCUAAAAUCCUUGCAAGUCUCAUCUGCUGUUCCUAUACUCUUCUCAGAUAGUACAACAGCCAUACACAUUGCUACCAAUCCUGUAUUUCACGAGAGAACGAAACAUAUUGACAUUGACUGUCAUACAGUCCGGGAUCGGUUAGACAAUGGCGAGCUUCGACUACUUCAUGUUCGCACAGAUGAUCAGAUUGCUGACAUCUUAACUAAACCAUUGUUCCCUCAUCAGUUUGAAUAUCUGAAGUCCAAGAUGAACAUCCUUAACAUUUUUGGAGUGUCAUCUUGAGGGGGCCUAUCAGAUUAGAUAACCGGUUUAAUGGUUUAGUAAAUUAACUUGUAUAGAUGCUGUAUAGUAAUAGUAUAUAUACGUUGUACAGUUGAUCAUUUUACAAUUAAUGAGAAUAAACAGAUUAAUAUCUCUAACAAACUUUUCUCAUCUCUCUCAAUCUCAUGAACGCUAACAGAACCCACCGCAGGGUUAGGUUAUCAAGAGAUUAUUAAAGAGCCACAACUUGGAUAGGUUUCUUAAGCACCAAGAGAGAAAGAUAAGAGUGAGUUAGAGUACGUGAGAAUGGCUUUUGCAGAGAAGAACCCUUCUUAUAAUCUUCGUUUUCUUUUGAUCAUAUGCAUAGUUUUGAGCUGUUCUAUCGCAGCUUCUGCAACUAUCGCAGAAGCAAAUGCUCUUCUAAAAUGGAAAUCUACUUUCAAGAACCAGAGACCCUCAUCAAAGUUGUCUUCGUGGGUCAAUGGAAACACCAAUACAAGCUUUUUCUGCACCAAUUGGUAUGGUGUUUCCUGCAACUCACGAGGGAGUAUCGAAAAGUUAAACCUCACUGACAACGCUAUAGAAGGUACUUUCCAAGAUUUCCCUUUUUCGUCUCUCCCAAACCUUGCUUACAUUGAUCUUAGCAUGAACAGUUUCUCUGGAUCUAUCCCUCCUCAAUUCAGAAACAUCUCCAAGCUAAUCUACUUUAACCUCUCCACAAACUACUUAACCGGAUCGAUUCCAUUUGAGAUCGGUCUCUUAACCUCAGUUCAAGAUAUCGACUUGUCUAACAAUUCCCUAUCUGGACCAAUACCCUCUUCCAUUGGAAAUCUAAACAACUUGGUAAAACUGCACCUCUUUUCCAAUUCUUUCUCGGGUCCACUUCCUUCUGAGAUUGGAAACUUACCCAACCUUGUUGUUCUAGGUCUUAGUAGAAACAACCUGUCUAAGUCAAUACCCUCUUCCAUUGGAAAUCUCACCAAUUUGGUAAAGGUUUAUCUUCAUACCAAUUCUUUCUCGGGUCCACUUCCUUUUGAGAUUGGAAACUUACCCAACCUUGUUAAGCUAGAUCUUAGUACAAACAACCUGACUGGACCAAUACCCUCCUCCAUUGGAAAUCUAACCAACUUGGUAAAACUGCACCUCUUUUCCAAUUCUUUCUCGGGUACACUUCCUUACGAGAUUGGAAACUUACCCAAACUUGUUGAGAUAGGUCUUUACAGAAACAACCUGUCUGGACCAAUACCCUCUUCCAUUGGAAAUCUAACCAACUUAGUAAAAUUGUACCUCUAUACCAAUUCAUUCUCGGGUUCAAUUCCUUCUUCCUUAGGAAACCUGAAGAACUUAACAGGUCUUUAUCUUGAUAUGAAUUAUCUAAGUGGUUUCAUUCCCGUGGAACUAGGAAACAUGGAAUCCAUGAUUCAGUUGGCGAUAAGUCAGAACAAUCUUAUAGGUUAUGUUCCUAAUUCCUUUGGAAACUUUACCAACCUGGAAUUGUUGUGCCUUAGUGAUAACCACCUCUCUGGUCUUAUUCCACUAGGAGUAUCAAACUCUUCAAAGUUGACUAUCUUGCAACUCGGUAGAAACAACUUCACUGGUUUCUUGCCUGGAAACAUUUGUGAAGGUGGGAAGCUUCAAUAUCUCUCAUUAGAUGAUAAUCACCUCGAAGGUCCUAUACCAAAAAGUUUGAAAAAUUGUCAGAGCUUGAUUAGAGCAAGAUUCAUAGGGAACAUAUUCAUUGGAGAUAUUUCUGAAGCUUUUGGUGUUUACCCACAUCUUGAUUUCAUUGAUCUUAGUCACAACAAAUUCCAUGGUGAGAUUUCAGGCAACUGGGAGAAGAGUCGAAAACUAGGUGCCUUGAUCAUGUCAAACAACAACAUCACAGGUGUUAUCCCACCAGAGACUUGGAACAUGACACAACUAGUUGAGUUGGAUCUGUCUACCAACAACCUAAUUGGUGAGCUUCCAGAAUCAAUUGGAAAACUCACAGGUUUGUCAAAGCUACUACUUAAUGGGAAUCAGCUAUCUGGAAGAGUUCCCGCAAGGUUGAGUGUCUUAACCAUGCUUGAGUAUCUGGACUUAUCUUCAAACAAUUUUAGUCAGAUCCCACAAACCUUUGAUUCAUUUUUAAAGCUUCAUGACAUGAACCUGAGCAGGAACAUGUUCAACGGAUGCAUUCCCCGACUAACAAAACUUACUCAGUUAAAUCAUCUUGAUCUCAGCUACAACCAGCUAGAUGGAGAAAUCCCAUCACAACUCAGCUCCUUACAGAGCCUUAACAAGCUCGACCUGUCACACAACAAUCUUUCCGGUAUCAUUCCCACAAGUUUUCAGGGCAUGAAAGGGCUGACAUAUAUCGAUAUAUCAAACAAUAAACUCGAGGGUCUGCUACCAGAAAAUCCCGCGUUUGAAAACGCAACAGCAGAUUCACUGGAGGGAAACAUAGGCUUAUGCAGUAAUAUUCCUAGACAAAGGUUGAAAUCAUGCCCUAUCACUUCCCCCGGGUUCAAGAAAAAGAAGAAUGGCAACCUUAUUGUUUGGAUACUAGUGUCGAUCCUAGGGGCACUCGUCAUUCUCUCUAUAUGUGCAGGUAUAUUUACCUACUACCUUCGAAAACGAAAAAAACACAUUGGAAAUAACAACUCAUAUGCUGAUAGUGGACAGACUCUGUCCAUCUUUUGCUACGAUGGCAAAGUCAAAUACCAAGAUAUCAUCCAAUCCACAAAUGAAUUUGAUCCAAAAUACGUGAUCGGAAUCGGAGGAUACGGCAAAGUCUACAAAGCAAACCUCCCAGGCGCAACCGUAGCAGUGAAAAAGCUACACCAAACAAUGAACGAAGAGAUAUCAAAGCCAGUGGUGAAGUAAGAGUUCCUAAACGAAGUAAGAGCGUUAACAGAGAUCCGUCACCGCAACGUCGUGAAGCUCUUCGGCUUCUGCUCCCACCGCCGCCACACAUUUCUGAUCUACGAGUACAUGGAAAAAGGAAGUUUAAACAAACUGUUAGCUGACGACAAAGAAGCUAAGCAACUCAACUGGACCAAAAGGAUAAGCAUCAUCAAAGGUGUUGCAAACGCGUUAUCGUAUAUGCACCAUGACCGAACUACUCCAAUCGUCCACCGUGAUAUUAGUAGCGGCAAUAUCCUUCUCGAUAACGAUUACAAAGCUAAGAUCUCCGAUUUCGGUACAGCGAAGCUUCUCAAGAUGGAUUCCUCAAAUUGGUCCGCCGUCGCCGGAACCUACGGCUACGUCGCUCCAGGUAAAUCUAAAUCAACGAUAAUUGAAAAUUGAAAUUGAGCUCAUGAAACUGAAAAUUCUCAACAGAAUUGGCUUACGCGAUGAAGGUGACGGAGAAAUGCGAUGUGUAUAGCUUUGGAGUAUUGACGCUGGAAGUGAUAAAAGGGAAACAUCCGGGAGAUUUGGUUUCGGCUUUGUCAUCUUCGUCUCCGGGAGAAACUCCGUCGUUGAGAAGCAUUUCCGAUGAGCGUUUAGGAGAACCAGAGGCGGAGAUUAGAGAGAAGCUUGUGAAGAUGAUGGAAGUGGCGUUGUCGUGCUUACAAGCAGAUCCAAUGUCUCGG
RNAcentral lists this long non-coding RNA (37458 nucleotides) under Capsella rubella. RNAcentral describes it as "long non-coding RNA (CRUB_LNC004935)". Lineage: Eukaryota; Viridiplantae; Streptophyta; Magnoliopsida; Brassicales; Brassicaceae. The record is from RNAcentral.